RNAcentral lists this ribosomal RNA (1456 nucleotides) under uncultured bacterium. RNAcentral describes it as "bacterial SSU rRNA". It matches the Rfam family "Bacterial small subunit ribosomal RNA". The record is from RNAcentral.
GAGUUUGAUCAUGGCUCAGAACGUACGCUGGCGGCACGCCUAACACAUGCAAGUCGAACGAAGUAGCAAUACUUAGUGGCAAACGGGUGAGUAUAAUGUGGGAAUCUGCCCUUUGGUUUGGAAUAACACGAGGAAACUUGUGCUAAUACCGGAUAAGCCUUCACAGGGAAAGCUUUACGCGCCAAAGGAUGAGUCCGCACUUGAUUAGCUAGUUGGUAAGGUAAAGGCUUACCAAGGCUACGAUCAAUAGCUGAUCUGAGAGGAUGAUCAGCCACAUUGGGACUGAGACACGGCCCAAACUCCUACGGGAGGCAGCAGUGGGGAAUCUUGCACAAUGGGGGAAACCCUGAUGCAGCGAUGCCGCGUGAGUGAAGAAGGCCCUUGGGUUGUAAAGCUCUUUCGUCGGGGAAGAAAAUGACUGUACCCGAAUAAGAAGGUCCGGCUAACUUCGUGCCAGCAGCCGCGGUAAUACGAAGGGACCUAGCGUAGUUCGGAAUUACUGGGCUUAAAGAGCUCGUAGGUGGUUAGAAAAGUUAGUGGUGAAAUCCCAAGGCUUAACCUUGGAACUGCCACUAAAACUUUUUAACUAGAGUGUGAUAGAGGUAAGCGGAAUUUCUAGUGUAGAGGUGAAAUUCGUAGAUAUUAGAAAGAACACCAAUUGCGAAGGCAGCUUUCUGGAUCAUUACUGACACUGAGGAGCGAAAGCAUGGGUAGCGAAGAGGAUUAGAUACCCUCGUAGUCCAUGCCGUAAACGAUGUGUGCUAGACGUUGGAAAUUUAUUUUUCAGUGUCGCAGCAAAAGCGUUAAGCACCCCGCCUGGGGAGUACGACCGCAAGGCUAAAACUCAAAGGAAUUGACGGGGACCCGCACAAGCGGUGGAACAUGUGGUUUAAUUCGAUGCAACGCGAAGAACCUUACCUGGGCUUGACAUGUUCAUGAAAGCUCUGUGAAAGCAGAGCCCUCUGCGAGCUUGCUCAAAGACGUGAUCACAGGUGAUGCAUGGCUGUCGUCAGCUCGUGUCGUGAGAUGUUGGGUUAAGUCCCGCAACGAGCGCAACCCCUUUCCUUAGUUGCCAGCACAUUAUGGUGGGGACUCUAAGGAUACUGCCUGGGAUAACCAGGAGAAAGGUGGGGAUGAUGUCAAGUCAGUAUGUCCCUUAUGUCCAGGGCUACACACGUGUUACAAUGGCUAGUACAAAGGGUUGCCAACCCGCGAGGGGGAGCCAAUCCCAAAAAACUAGCCCCAGUUCAGAUUGGAGUCUGCAACUCGACUCCAUGAAGGAGGAAUCGCUAGUAAUCGUGGAUCAGCACGCCACGGUGAAUACGUUCCCGGGUCUUGUACACACCGCCCGUCACGCCAUGGAAGUCAGCAGUACCCAAAGCAGGUCGCCUAACCUUCGGGAGGGAGCCUUUUAAGGUAAGGCUGGUAACUGGGGCGAAGUCGUAACAAGGUAGCC